Molecule: long non-coding RNA, 1252 nt
Filed under: Homo sapiens (human)
Lineage: Eukaryota; Metazoa; Chordata; Mammalia; Primates; Hominidae
Description: HSALNT0348151
Source: RNAcentral
GUAAGUUUCAUAAGAGGGAAAGUCUUGUUCAACAUUGCCUUCAAUAGCCUGAAACAGUGACUGGAAAUAGAAGAUCUUCAACGCAUGAGUGAAUGAAUUAAAGAAUAACUCUACAGGACUACUGUAUGCAGUAAUAGAGACUCUAGCUGACGUCACUGGAAUAUUUGCUCAGAUUUAUGCCUCAAGGAGAUAGGUGUACAUCUUCUGUUUCAUCACUGAUGGUUUCAAGGCACUAGAGUUGUCUUCCCAACAAUCUGGGAUAAGUGCUGUUCACGAGGAGUUGCUGGCUCAGCAGGCCUCUUUGUCUCUGUGCUCAUGACAAGGACAUAUCACCUAACUCUGGGCUCUGGCUCACUUAGUAGCUUCUUUGCCGUUGGACUCUCACACCGAGAUGUCACCGAGCAGCAGCCUUUCCCAGGAAGUUGUUAAGGAGAUGGGAAUCCUCAUGCCUGCUGCUUUUUCCCAAAUCAGAGGAAGCCCGGGAGCCAGUUGCAGUAAAGUCUUGCCAGUAACGUUUCUCUUAAGAACGAGAAAGCUACUCAAAGAAAUGAUCUCUUCCUGGAUGUUGUGGUCCACGAAUAUUAUGUCUGGAACAUCAGAGCCAUCUUGUCUCCAUGAUGGGAGUUCCAUCUAAAGACAAAGUCAAAACCCAGCAGAGGACACAGCUGAAGGAACACGAGAAAGUGGCAUGGAAACGCUGAAGCCCCAGCACCGGCAGACCUCAGUUAUUGGGGCCAAUCAACCUCUUGUUACUGUUCAAGCGAGUUUGGAAACGUUGUCAGAGACCCACAACAGAAAACAACUCAAACAGCUCAUACCUAAAGACUCCUACAUGGCUUUGAUGACAUAAAGAGUUUGUAGAGUGAAGACAGAAAUGGUGAAUGAAUAAACAAUUUGGGCUUGAAUGUAAUGACCAAAAGAAGUCCAGGAGAGUUUCAGGGAACCAACUUGCAGCUACAUCCACAAUUCCUCAACACUGGAACAACAUGCUUAUGACCUUUCCUUUUCACAGCAACAGUGACGUGUUUGGUUUGUAACAGUUUCUGAACCACUGAAGUACUUUUCAACUUUCUCCCUUGGAAAAGCUGGCAUCUUGCCUGAAAUCCUUGGUGUGGUCUAGCAUUGCUUUUGUUUUAAUCACAUUCCAGUGAGAAACAGCCACUUAGCCAAAUUUACAUCAGCACUUCCUAUGGUAGCUAUUGGAAACAGCACGGGCAAAAAUGUUGCUAUCUACUGCAUUCAUUGGACUCUG